Oreochromis niloticus (Nile tilapia) is the source of this 398-nucleotide long non-coding RNA. RefSeq lists it as uncharacterized. The record is from RefSeq and is a predicted model, not a curated record. The transcript has 3 exons. NCBI's taxonomy places the organism in Eukaryota, Metazoa, Chordata, Actinopteri, Cichliformes, Cichlidae.
CAGGGCAUCCCUUCGCCGCGUUGUAUGACACAACAUCUGUCUUUCUUCUCCAGGUUCGUAUACAGCGCAGGCAGAAGCAAUGUUGGCAGUUCGGUAAGAUGGCAAAGACGCGCUCCGAGGGAUUCUGUUUGCGGACUGAUAAGCUCCUCCGAGCCGACGCUGCACGUGGGGCCGUUUCCCGACACUAGCACAGGGCUUCUUUGGUGGGAUCUCUGGGUUGACCUUAUGCGUCGAGGUUGAGGCUGUUGCUGCUGGCGCACACCGGGAACGCUCUGGUGUGUGAUCAUCAUCGUAGGAGCGGAGGGAAAAUUCGUGGAUGUCACAGAUUGCAUCCAAGACGUUGGGAUGUCCGUUAGAUGCAGCGUGUGCUCUUUAUGAACUCUGCCAGCCGAACCGUG